RNAcentral lists this long non-coding RNA (588 nucleotides) under Amborella trichopoda. Its description in RNAcentral is "long non-coding RNA (ATRI_LNC003166)". The record is from RNAcentral. Lineage: Eukaryota; Viridiplantae; Streptophyta; Magnoliopsida; Amborellales; Amborellaceae.
AAUACUCAAUUUGAAAUCGACAUACAAGAGUAAUUUGUGACCUCCUUGUAUUAAAAGUAGAUGGUCUCUUUAUAUACUUUUCCAUUUAUUAUACCCGGGUUUAUUAUUGGUCUUAUGUGUUUGAAAUUGUGAUCAUUUUUUUAGAAUUUGAUGAAAAUAUGAUAAAAUAAAGAAGAACUCAUAAAACCUUCAGUAACUGGAUUCAAUAUUUAAAAGGAAGCUUGCUAGCCUAGCUUCAACUAUGAAUUCCCUUGAAUUCUCGAGAACUACGUUGUUAAACAAUAAACAACUCUAAAAAAACACGAAUAAAAUCCCUAUUUAAAGACUUUAUUUCUAAUGUAGUUUGAAUUCAUAAUUAGAACUGAACCUGAAUUUUGUAACUUAUGCCCCUUGAAGAAAUCUAAAAGAUAAAAUUGUCUUAGAAAAGACCUUGAAAAGAUACCCUGACUUUCCAUGCACAUAAAUUUUCACUUCGAUGUUGAACCCUAUAUUAUAACCCCAUUUCAUUAACAGCAGCAUAAAUCCUAUGACACCAAAACCUUUUUCUCGGUUUUGACCAAUGAACUAGGCUGAAAAAGUUGUUUUAUA